UACGUAGGGCGCAAGCGUUAUCCGGAAUUAUUGGGCGUAAAGAGCUCGUAGGCGGUCUGUCGCGUCGGCUGUGAAAACCCGGGGCUCAACCCCGGGCCUGCAGUCGAUACGGGCAGGCUAGAGUUCGGUAGGGGAGACUGGAAUUCCUGGUGUAGCGGUGAAAUGCGCAGAUAUCAGGAGGAACACCGGUGGCGAAGGCGGGUCUCUGGGCCGAUACUGACGCUGAGGAGCGAAAGCGUGGGGGAGCGAACAGG
Molecule: ribosomal RNA, 254 nt
Filed under: uncultured bacterium
Lineage: Bacteria
Description: partial 16S ribosomal RNA
Rfam family: Bacterial small subunit ribosomal RNA
Source: RNAcentral